UUGGAGGGCAAGUCUGGUGCCAGCAGCCGCGGUAAUUCCAGCUCCAAUAGCGUAUAUUAAAGUUGUUGCAGUUAAAAAGCUCGUAGUUGAAUUUCGGGGUUAGUAGGUUGGUCAUGCCUCCGGUAUGUACUGGCUUCACUGAUUCCUCCUUCCUGAUGAGCCGUAAUGCCAUUAAUUUGGUGUUGCGAGGAAUCUGGACUGUUACUUUGAAAAAAUUAGAGUGUUUAAAGCAGGCUACGACUGUAGUACUAUAUACGAUAGUAGUAAUACGAAAUAGGACGUUUGAUUCUAUUUUGUUGGUUUCUAGGAUCGACGUAAUGAUUAAUAGGGAUAGUUGGGGGCAUUAGUAUUCAAUUGUCAGAGGUGAAAUUCUUGGAUUUAUUGAAGACUAACUACUGCGAAAGCAUUUGCCAAGGAUGUUUUCAUUAAUCAAGAACGAAAGUUAGGGGAUCGAAGACGAUCAGAUACCGUCGUAGUCUUAACCAUAAACUAUGCCGACUAGGGAUCGGAUGAUGUUAAUUUUUAAUGACUCAUUCGGC
Molecule: ribosomal RNA, 539 nt
Filed under: Glomus sp.
Lineage: Eukaryota; Fungi; Glomeromycota; Glomeromycetes; Glomerales; Glomeraceae
Description: SSU rRNA
Rfam family: Eukaryotic small subunit ribosomal RNA
Source: RNAcentral